GUUUGAUCAUGGCUCAGAUUGAACGCUGGCGGCAGGCUUAACACAUGCAAGUCGAGCGGGGGAAGGUAGCUUGCUACUGGACCUAGCGGCGGACGGGUGAGUAAUGCUUAGGAAUCUGCCUAUUAGUGGGGGACAACAUCUCGAAAGGGAUGCUAAUACCGCAUACGUCCUACGGGAGAAAGCAGGGGAUCUUCGGACCUUGCGCUAAUAGAUGAGCCUAAGUCGGAUUAGCUAGUUGGUGGGGUAAAGGCCUACCAAGGCGACGAUCUGUAGCGGGUCUGAGAGGAUGAUCCGCCACACUGGGACUGAGACACGGCCCAGACUCCUACGGGAGGCAGCAGUGGGGAAUAUUGGACAAUGGGGGGAACCCUGAUCCAGCCAUGCCGCGUGUGUGAAGAAGGCCUUAUGGUUGUAAAGCACUUUAAGCGAGGAGGAGGCUACUUUAGUUAAUACCUAGAGAUAGUGGACGUUACUCGCAGAAUAAGCACCGGCUAACUCUGUGCCAGC
RNAcentral lists this ribosomal RNA (507 nucleotides) under Acinetobacter baumannii. RNAcentral's name for it is "bacterial SSU rRNA". It matches the Rfam family "Bacterial small subunit ribosomal RNA", at positions 11 to 512 of the family's 1533-position model. The record is from RNAcentral. Lineage: Bacteria; Pseudomonadati; Pseudomonadota; Gammaproteobacteria; Moraxellales; Moraxellaceae.